CCCUUAGAUGUUCUGGGCUGCACGCGCGCUACACUGACACACUCAGCGAGUCUCCUGGUCCGAGAGGAUUGGGUAAUCAUGUGAGCGUGUGUCGUGAUGGGGAUAGAAUAUUGUAAUUAUUACUCUUCAACGAGGGAUUCCUAGUAAGCGCGAGUCAGCAGCUCGCGCUGAUUACGUCCCUGCCCUUUGUACACACCGCCCGUCGCUCCUACCAAUGGGUGAUCCGGUGAAUGACUCGGACUCUGGAAUUAGCUAUUUAUAGCUUUUAUCCGGAGGAAGUUUUGUGAACCUUAUCACUUGGAGGAAGGAGAAGUCGUAACA
This 321-nucleotide ribosomal RNA is filed under the name uncultured eukaryote. RNAcentral describes it as "partial 18S ribosomal RNA". It matches the Rfam family "Eukaryotic small subunit ribosomal RNA", at positions 1470 to 1796 of the family's 1831-position model. The record is from RNAcentral.